Molecule: ribosomal RNA, 495 nt
Filed under: uncultured bacterium
Lineage: Bacteria
Description: partial 16S ribosomal RNA
Rfam family: Bacterial small subunit ribosomal RNA
Source: RNAcentral
GAUGAACGCUGGCGGCGUGCCUAAUACAUGCAAGUCGAGCGAACAGACGAGGAGCUUGCUCCUCUGACGUUAGCGGCGGACGGGUGAGUAACACGUGGAUAACCUACCUAUAAGACUGGGAUAACUUCGGGAAACCGGAGCUAAUACCGGAUAAUAUAUUGAACCGCAUGGUUCAAUAGUGAAAGACGGUUUUGCUGUCACUUAUAGAUGGAUCCGCGCCACAUUAGCUAGUUGGUAAGGUAACGGCUUACCAAGGCAACGAUGCGUAGCCGACCUGAGAGGGUGAUCGGCCACACUGGAACUGAGACACGGUCCAGACUCCUACGGGAGGCAGCAGUAGGGAAUCUUCCGCAAUGGGCGAAAGCCUGACGGAGCAACGCCGCGUGAGUGAUGAAGGUCUUCGGAUCGUAAAACUCUGUUAUUAGGAAGAACAAAUGUGUAAGUAACUAUGCACGUCUUGACGGUACCUAAUCAGAAAGCCACGGCUAACUACGU